This 372-nucleotide ribosomal RNA is filed under the name uncultured organism. RNAcentral's name for it is "partial 16S ribosomal RNA". It matches the Rfam family "Bacterial small subunit ribosomal RNA", at positions 527 to 896 of the family's 1533-position model. The record is from RNAcentral.
GUAGGGGGCCAGCGUUGUCCGGAUUCAUUGGGCGUAAAGAGCGUGUAGGCGGUUCAAUAGGUCCGAUGUGAAAACUCGAGGCUCAACCUCGAGAGGUCGUCGGAAACCAUUGAGCUAGAGUCCGGAAGAGGAGAGUGGAAUUCCUGGUGUAGCGGUGAAAUGCGCAGAUAUCAGGAAGAACACCGAUGGCGAAGGCAGCUCUCUGGGACGGUACUGACGCUGAGACGCGAAAGCGUGGGGGAGCGAACAGGAUUAGAUACCCUGGUAGUCCACGCCGUAAACGAUGGGCACUAGGUGUGGGUGGUGUCGACUCCAUCCGUGCCGCGGCUAACGCAUUAAGUGCCCCCGCCUGGGAGUACGGCCGCAAGGCUA